GGUUAAGCUAGUAAGAGCACACGGAGGAUGCCUAGGCGCCAGGAGCCGACGAAGGACGUGGCGAACGACGAUAUAGCCUCGGGGAGCUGUAAGCAAGCAUCGAUCCGGGGAUGUCCGAAUGGGGAAACCCGGCUGUCAUAAUAGGCAGUCACUCGCACCUGAAUCUAUAGGGUGUGAAGAGGCAUACGAGGGGAACUGAAACAUCUAAGUACCCUCAGGAAGAGAAAACAAUAGUGAUUCCGUCAGUAGCGGCGAGCGAACGCGGAAGAGCCUAAACCGGAGAGCUUGCUCUCCGGGGUUGUGGGACGUCUCACAUGGAGUCAGAAAGGUGUUUAUUAGACGAAGAGUCCUGGAAAGACUCGCCGUAGAAGGUAAUAGCCCUGUACUCGAAAGUAAAUGCCCUCCGAGACGGAUCCCGAGUACCGCGGGACACGUGAAACCCCGUGGGAAUCCGGCAGGACCAUCUGCUAAGGCUAAAUACUCCCUGGCGACCGAUAGUGAAGCAGUACCGUGAGGGAAAGGUGAAAAGCACCCCGGAAGGGGAGUGAAAUAGAACCUGAAACCGUGUGCUUACAAGAAGUCAGAGCCCUAUGAUGAAACUUGUUUUCAUCAGGGUGAUGGCGUGCCUUUUGUAGAAUGAACCGGCGAGUUACGUUUACGUGCAAGGUUAAGGUGAAAAGCCGUAGCCGCAGCGAAAGCGAGUCUGAAUAGGGCGAAAGUAUAUGCUUACGAAGUAGCAAUACUUCGUAUUGCUUUUAGUACGUAGACGUAGACCCGAAACCGAGUGAUCUACCCCUGUCCAGGGUGAAGGUGCGGUAACACGCACUGGAGGCCCGAACCCACGAAUGUUGAAAAAUUCGGGGAUGAGGUGGGGGUAGCGGAGAAAUUCCAAUCGAACUCGGAGAUAGCUGGUUCUCCCCGAAAUAGCUUUAGGGCUAGCCUCGGAGGAAGAGUCGUGGAGGUAGAGCACUGAUUGGGUGCGGGGCCCGCCAAGGGUUACCAAGCUCAGUCAAACUCCGAAUGCCAUGGACUUAUUAUCCGGGAGUCAGACAAUGGGUGCUAAGGUCCGUUGUCAAGAGGGAAACAGCCCAGACCAUCAGCUAAGGCCCCUAAGUGUACGUUAAGUGGGAAAGGAUGUGGAGUUGCCCAGACAACCAGGAUGUUGGCUUAGAAGCAGCCACCAUUUAAAGAGUGCGUAAUAGCUCACUGGUCGAGUGACUCUGCGCCGAAAAUGUAACGGGGCUAAACGUACCGCCGAAGCUAUGGAUUGCAUCGACUUCACUGCUUCUUUGAAGAGUGAGUGAAGACCCGCCUGAGAUUUUGUCGACAUCCGAAGUGAUACCACUUGUCGACCAAAUGACCUCAGGGGCUAAACGAAUACUUCGAAGCUGGAGUGAAGUCGAUGCAGUGGUAGGGGAGCGUUGUGUACCGGGUUGAAGGUAGACCGGAAGGACUGCUGGACUGUACACAAGUGAGAAUGCCGGUAUGAGUAACGAAAAGACAUGUGAGAAUCAUGUCCGCCGAAAGCCUAAGGGUUCCUGGGGAAGGCUCGUCCGCCCAGGGUAAGUCGGGACCUAAGGCGAGGCCGAAAGGCGUAGUCGAAGGACAACAGGUUGAAAUUCCUGUACCACCGCAGCCGUUAUGAGCGAUGGGGGGACGCAGAAGGAUAGGGACGCGAGCCGAUGGAUGUGCUCGUCCAAGCAGUGAGGCUGGUCAGUAGGCAAAUCCGCUGACCGUAAGGCUGGACUGUGAUGGGGAGGGAAAAUAACAGUACCGAAGGUCUUGAUUUCAUGCUGCCAAGAAAAGCCUCUAGCCAGGUGAAGGUGCCCGUACCGCAAACCGACACAGGUAGGCGAGAAGAGAAUUCUAAGGCGCGCGGAAGAACUCUCGUUAAGGAACUCGGCAAAAUGACCCCGUAACUUUGGGAGAAGGGGUGCCCCGGUAGGGUGAAUAGCCCGAGGGGGCCGCAGUGAAUAGGCCCGAGCGACUGUUUAGCAAAAACACAGGUCUGUGCGAAGCCG
Molecule: non-coding RNA, 2021 nt
Filed under: Paenibacillus popilliae ATCC 14706
Lineage: Bacteria; Bacillati; Bacillota; Bacilli; Caryophanales; Paenibacillaceae
Description: Bacterial large subunit ribosomal RNA
Rfam family: Bacterial large subunit ribosomal RNA
Source: Rfam by way of RNAcentral